AUGCAGCUGACGAGUUCUAAAUAGGACGAAAUGCGCAUCAAAUUGGAU
RNAcentral lists this non-coding RNA (48 nucleotides) under Schistosoma curassoni. Lineage: Eukaryota; Metazoa; Platyhelminthes; Trematoda; Strigeidida; Schistosomatidae. The record is from RNAcentral.